RNAcentral lists this ribosomal RNA (372 nucleotides) under uncultured prokaryote. RNAcentral describes it as "bacterial SSU rRNA". It matches the Rfam family "Bacterial small subunit ribosomal RNA", at positions 524 to 896 of the family's 1533-position model. The record is from RNAcentral.
UACGGAGGAGGCUAGCGUUGUUCGGAAUUACUGGGCGUAAAGCGUGCGUAGGCGGUUUUCUAAGAUGAGUGUGAAAGCCCGGAGCUCAACUCCGGAACUGCGCUCAUGACUGGAAUACUGGAGUCCGAGAGAGGUGAGUGGAAUUCCCAGUGUAGAGGUGAAAUUCGUAGAUAUUGGGAAGAACACCAGUGGCGAAGGCGGCUCACUGGCUCGGUACUGACGCUGAUGCACGAAAGCGUGGGGAGCAAACAGGAUUAGAUACCCUGGUAGUCCACGCCGUAAACUAUGAGUGCUAGAUGUUGGGGGGCUUGCCUCUCAGUGUCGAAGCUAACGCGAUAAGCACUCCGCCUGGGGAGUACGGCCGCAAGGUUA